GGGACGCACAGGCCUGUGCCCCAUGCCCAGGCCUGCUGGGGGGACAGCACUGUACAUCCAGAGCCUGAAAGGAAAUGUGUCCCUGGAAUAAACACAGCACAGCUUCACCAGCGUGCAGCCAUCAGCACAGCAUGCCAGGGUGGACACACUGGAGCAGCACAGCAGUGUUGGCAGCCGUGGGCCCGGCGCUCCUGCUGCCGGCCCUGCCAGCACCGGGCCCCGGCGCGGCCCGGCACUCGCGGCCCGGGGGGCACAGCCCUGCAGCAGCCGCCAUCCAGAAAAGGUGCCAGGGAACGGCUCUCUGGCACGGAUGGUGGGCUCUGCCUAGCCUGCAGCAAUGAACAGGGAUGGGAGCUGGGAAAGUGCAAAACAUGCCUAAAAUCUGACAAAUUAUGCAGGAGACUUCCCAGAAGAAGUACCUGGAGGAGACCUUUGGAGACUCAUCCACUCAUGCUUUGGAAGGCUGUGUGCUCAGUCAUUGAAGGGAUUGCAGGGUUGCUACAACAGGAGAGGACAGAGGAAACAUUUCCGUCAGCCCUUCUGCAGCCCUGCCCCACCGGGUGAACAUUCACGCUCAUUGUCAUUCACCACGCUCUCACCCCAGUGCUGCCUGUGCCUGUGCCCUUCUCACGGGGCUUGCCAAAGAAGCAAUUUUACAGGAAUGCAGUAAGAGAAGCUAGGGUCAGCAGGCCGCCUUUAAUUUCUUUGUCUCUGUCUGAACACAAUACAAUCAGCAGCAUGCAGCAACAUGGACCAUCCUUCUCCCAGUUUCCUUUUUCUUUUGGAAGAUGGGGACACUGCAGAGAUCCUGAUUGUACCCUCAGCUAUGUGACAACAGAGAGUUCUGUCACUUGGCAGUGACCCUCAGCAGCCCGUCCUUGCUGACUGGGAGCCAAAGUCUGCUUUACAAGGAUGGUCCAAUGCUGAAGGUGAAAGUGUAGCCAGCAUUCAUAAAGUGGUGGAGUAACGCAUUCAUGCAUGGCUGGUGGUGGCUGACCCUUGCCCAUGGCCCUAGCUUGUCAGUCAUCCAUUCCCUGUGGCUUAGCACUGACCACUGGUGGCAGAUCACAGUGUGAUCUGCACCUGUGCCAAGUAUGGGGAGAGGGAUUUAGCAAUGCAAGUGUCAGCAGCCUGCAUCUCUCUGGGGAGGUAACACACUCUGAGUCCCUAUUAAAUAGCGC
Molecule: long non-coding RNA, 1181 nt
Filed under: Cyanistes caeruleus (blue tit)
Lineage: Eukaryota; Metazoa; Chordata; Aves; Passeriformes; Paridae
Description: lncRNA (ENSCCEG00000022884.1)
Source: RNAcentral